GCAGCAGACCGGGUGAUCGCCGGUGAUUUUCGUUCAAGGCUGAGAGCCAAGGCUCUCAGCCGCCAGCAAUGGCUCUGAAUUAGGAUCACGGGAGGAAAGUCCGAACACCACAGGACAGCAGGCUGGCUAACGGCCAGGCGGGGUGACCCGACGGAAUAGUGCAACAGAGAAUAGACAGCCCGAACGAACCGCUUCGGCGGUUGCGUGGGCGAUGGUGAAACGGUGAGGUAAAGGCUUCACCAGCAGUCGUGGCGACAUGGCUGGCUAGGCAAACCCCCUGCGGUGCAAGACCAAAUAGGGAAACGAUGUGAGCUGGUCCGGCUCUGUGCGCGCUUCGGCGUGGCGCGUUUUCGGGUAGGUCGCUGAGGCAAAGUCGCGAGGCUUUGCGGAGCGGCGCAGCAAUGCGCGGCCUAGAUGAAUGAUCGCCCCUUGCGUAAGCGAGGACAGAAUUCGGCUUAUAGGUCCGCUGCGGCA
RNAcentral lists this RNase P RNA (474 nucleotides) under Acidobacteriota bacterium. Its description in RNAcentral is "Acidobacteria bacterium (bioreactor metagenome) RNase P RNA component class A". It matches the Rfam family "Bacterial RNase P class A". From Rfam's summary of the family: Ribonuclease P (RNase P) is a ubiquitous endoribonuclease, found in archaea, bacteria and eukarya as well as chloroplasts and mitochondria. Its best characterised activity is the generation of mature 5'-ends of tRNAs by cleaving the 5'-leader elements of precursor-tRNAs. Cellular RNase Ps are ribonucleoproteins. The record is from RNAcentral. Lineage: Bacteria; Pseudomonadati; Acidobacteriota.